UACGUAGGGUGCAAGCGUUGUCCGGAAUUAUUGGGCGUAAAGAGCUCGUAGGCGGUUCGUCGCGUCGGCUGUGAAAUCCCGGAGCUCAACUCCGGGUCUGCAGUCGAUACGGGCGGACUCGAGUUCGGCAGGGGAGACUGGAAUUCCUGGUGUAGCGGUGAAGUGCGCAGAUAUCAGGAGGAACACCAAUGGCGAAGGCAGCUCGCUGGGACGUGACUGACGCUGAGACGCGAAAGCGUGGGGAGCAAACAGG
This 253-nucleotide ribosomal RNA is filed under the name uncultured bacterium. Its description in RNAcentral is "partial 16S ribosomal RNA". It matches the Rfam family "Bacterial small subunit ribosomal RNA", at positions 524 to 776 of the family's 1533-position model. The record is from RNAcentral.